GUGCUUGCUAAGGCAGCACAUAACCUAAAAUUGGAACAAUACAGAGAAUAUGAGCAUGGCCCCUGUGCAAGGAUGACAUGCAAAUUUGUGGCUUAGUGGUUAAGACAUUU
This is a small nuclear RNA of Jaculus jaculus (lesser Egyptian jerboa), 110 nucleotides long. The record is from Ensembl. NCBI's taxonomy places the organism in Eukaryota, Metazoa, Chordata, Mammalia, Rodentia, Dipodidae.